This 459-nucleotide ribosomal RNA is filed under the name uncultured bacterium. RNAcentral's name for it is "partial 16S ribosomal RNA". It matches the Rfam family "Bacterial small subunit ribosomal RNA", at positions 338 to 795 of the family's 1533-position model. The record is from RNAcentral.
CCUACGGGAGGCAGCAGUGAGGAAUAUUGGUCAAUGGACGAGAGUCUGAACCAGCCAAGUAGCGUGAAGGAUGACUGCCCUAUGGGUUGUAAACUUCUUUUAUAUGGGAAUAAAAUGUUCCACGUGUGGGAUUUUGUAUGUACCAUAUGAAUAAGGAUCGGCUAACUCCGUGCCAGCAGCCGCGGUAAUACGGAGGAUCCGAGCGUUAUCCGGAUUUAUUGGGUUUAAAGGGAGCGUAGGUGGAUUGUUAAGUCAGUUGUGAAAGUUUGCGGCUCAACCGUAAAAUUGCAGUUGAAACUGGCGGUCUUGGGUACAGUAGAGGUGGGCGGAAUUCGUGGUGUAGCGGUGAAAUGCUUAGAUAUCACGAAGAACUCCGAUUGCGAGGGCAGCUCACUGGACUGCAACUGACACUGAGGCUCGAAAGUGUGGGUAUCAAACAGGAUUAGUACCCGAGUAGUC